RNAcentral lists this ribosomal RNA (253 nucleotides) under uncultured bacterium. RNAcentral describes it as "partial 16S ribosomal RNA". It matches the Rfam family "Bacterial small subunit ribosomal RNA", at positions 524 to 776 of the family's 1533-position model. The record is from RNAcentral.
UACAGAGGUCCCAAGCGUUGUUCGGAUUCACUGGGCGUAAAGGGUGCGUAGGUGGUGGGGUAAGUCCGAUGUGAAAGCUCCGAGCUCAACUCGGAAAUUGCAUUAGAAACUACCUCGCUAGAGGGUUGGAGGGGGGACUGGAAUUCUCGGUGUAGCAGUGAAAUGCGUAGAUAUCGAGAGGAACACCAGUGGCGAAGGCGAGUCCCUGGACAACUCCUGACACUGAGGCACGAAAGCUAGGGGAGCAAACAGG